UUGCAGCUGACCAAUCAGUGUUUGCCUGCCAAUGUUGGCUGGUGUGUGACGUCAUUGAGCGUGAUCUACGGAGUGGAGAGCAGAGAGACAGGGGAACGAAGUCGGAAAAAUUAGUAAAAACAAGAGUAAAACCAACGUUUUAGUCGCCUGGUUUGUUAGUUGUUAGGUUUGUUAGUGAAAAACUAAUUACCGAGGAAAGCAUCGAGGAAGUCUGGAUGCUUAGACAAGCUUUGGAGCUGUUUUUGUCGAACAAGACUGAGGCUGGACGCCUAACACACCUGCGGAGCGAAGGUUUACUUGUUGAUCUGCUGCUGAGGAAAACACCAGCUCUCACCUCACAGACCAAACAGGACUGAGAGUUGAAGCAGGAAACAGCUGAGCUGACAGAAGAGACAGACGUGAAGAUUUCCACAAGCUCCAGGACUUCAGCUGCUGUGACGACGACGACUCCUCCUGCAGAGACACAACAUGUUAGUAACAGGACAUUAUUACUAUUUAAUUUAAGUUACUGAUAAUGACUAUGUACAACCAAUAUUUAGUUUCUAAUUAUUAUGAUCUACAUUACUAUCAAUACUACUGAUUACUACUAUUACAUACCAGUGACGAAUUAUUGCCCUUAAUUAUUACUGUUUAAUUAACAGUUAAUUAACAGUUACCAAAAAAUAGAUUAUUAUUAUUAUAGUGAUGACUAAUAACAUUAGCAAGUAACUACAGCACUACUACUUUUGUUUCCCUGUGUGAGAGCUAAUUAAAUUGCUUAUUUUCUAAUUCUGUUAAUGUUUUAAUAAACUGUUUUUUUUUUUUUAAAAAAAGGUCC
This is a long non-coding RNA of Lates calcarifer (barramundi perch), 817 nucleotides long. RefSeq lists it as uncharacterized. Lineage: Eukaryota; Metazoa; Chordata; Actinopteri; Centropomidae. The transcript is spliced from 4 exons. The record is from RefSeq and is a predicted model, not a curated record.